GGGGAGAGAGUGGCAUUGAAGAAAAGGAGGGUAUCAGCCAAACUGUCUGAGGUGAGGAAGAUCUCAUAUAAUGUUGCAGUCACAGAAAGGUGUCAGGCAGCUGACCAAGGGUGGUGACUUCCCAUUCCCAAAAGUCAAGGAGGAUUUAACAUCAAGCACGAAGGCUCACUACAGAGAAAUAAGAGCAAAGAACAUCAAUGAUUUGAUGAAACCAUGUGGCAUUUUAUAGAAAUGGAUAAAGAGGAAAUUGGCUAACAAAGAUGAAUGUGCAGCAAAGAAACCAAAGUGAAAAUAUUGAAAUGUGAGGAUAAUGUAAAUGGAGUUAUAGAAGAAAUAGCUGAUGUGAAAAUGUUGAUAAGGCCAUCGUUGGAAACACUAGAUAUACAGCUGGAGCAAAGCAAGAGGUGAACUUACCAACAUAAUAGGGAAAGUGGCCAUGAUUAAAGGAUAAAUAUGUUCCAGAAGAAUUGACACUGGCAAUAACAACUUCACAUUAAAGCCACACUUAGAGAUGCUUCAUGACAUGGAAAGCACAAAGCAUAAAAUUUUGGAAGCUGAUUCAAAGUUGGAAAGGAAUAUGACAAUUUGCCAAGGCAUAACAAAGAUGCUUGAUUCAUACGAAGAAUUAUAAAUGAGAGGAAGGCAAGCACUGUUUUGAACUAUUCUCGUAUGGAGAUGUUGCUGGACAAUGGCUGCCCCUUCAAGGACUAUUAUUUCCCAGCCUCUCCCCCUUGCAUCCAGGUAGACCCUGUUACCGAUGCAUGUCUACGUUACCUCUAGGAGACAGGUGGCUGACCCAUGCAUUGUACUGUAUGUCCACGGGCUUUCCAGGUUAAUUCUGCAUACGGGACAUAAUAAAAAGGCGCUUUUAGAGAGAGAGCUGGGCACUCUGUGGAGUUUCUUUAUAUGACCUGAGGCCUUACUCUAGUGGCACAGUUAAUACUGG
Homo sapiens (human) is the source of this 946-nucleotide long non-coding RNA. The record is from Ensembl. NCBI's taxonomy places the organism in Eukaryota, Metazoa, Chordata, Mammalia, Primates, Hominidae.